This 88-nucleotide small nucleolar RNA is filed under the name Sclerotinia borealis F-4128. Its description in RNAcentral is "A. fimigatus snoRNA Afu_298". It matches the Rfam family "A. fimigatus snoRNA Afu_298". The record is from Rfam by way of RNAcentral. Lineage: Eukaryota; Fungi; Ascomycota; Leotiomycetes; Helotiales; Sclerotiniaceae.
GCUGUGUGAUGAACAAUUCAUAGCUUUUUAACCCCGAGUGCUUGCGCACGUUGAAGAUCAAAAACAACACUCUAAUUUUUUCCUGAAU